RNAcentral lists this ribosomal RNA (1372 nucleotides) under uncultured bacterium. RNAcentral describes it as "bacterial SSU rRNA". It matches the Rfam family "Bacterial small subunit ribosomal RNA", at positions 28 to 1381 of the family's 1533-position model. The record is from RNAcentral.
GAUGAACGCUGGCGGCGUGCCUAAUACAUGCAAGUCGAGCGAACGGACGAGAAGCUUGCUUUUCUGAUGUUAGCGGCGGACGGGUGAGUAACACGUGGAUAACCUACCUAUAAGACUGGGAUAACUUCGGGAAACCGGAGCUAAUACCGGAUAAUAUUUUGAACCGCAUGGUUCAAAAGUGAAAGACGGUCUUGCUGUCACUUAUAGAUGGAUCCGCGCUGCAUUAGCUAGUUGGUAAGGUAACGGCUUACCAAGGCAACGAUGCAUAGCCGACCUGAGAGGGUGAUCGGCCACACUGGAACUGAGACACGGUCCAGACUCCUACGGGAGGCAGCAGUAGGGAAUCUUCCGCAAUGGGCGAAAGCCUGACGGAGCAACGCCGCGUGAGUGAUGAAGGUCUUCGGAUCGUAAAACUCUGUUAUUAGGGAAGAACAUAUGUGUAAGUAACUGUGCACAUCUUGACGGUACCUAAUCAGAAAGCCACGGCUAGCUACGUGCCAGCAGCCGCGGUAAUACGUAGGUGGCAAGCGUUAUCCGGAAUUAUUGGGCGUAAAGCGCGCGUAGGCGGUUUUUUAAGUCUGAUGUGAAAGCCCACGGCUCAACCGUGGAGGGUCAUUGGAAACUGGAAAACUUGAGUGCAGAAGAGGAAAGUGGAAUUCCAUGUGUAGCGGUGAAAUGCGCAGAGAUAUGGAGGAACACCAGUGGCGAAGGCGACUUUCUGGUCUGUAACUGACGCUGAUGUGCGAAAGCGUGGGGAUCAAACAGGAUUAGAUACCCUGGUAGUCCACGCCGUAAACGAUGAGUGCUAAGUGUUAGGGGGUUUCCGCCCCUUAGUGCUGCAGCUAACGCAUUAAGCACUCCGCCUGGGGAGUACGACCGCAAGGUUGAAACUCAAAGGAAUUGACGGGGACCCGCACAAGCGGUGGAGCAUGUGGUUUAAUUCGAAGCAACGCGAAGAACCUUACCAAAUCUUGACAUCCUUUGACAACUCUAGAGAUAGAGCCUUCCCCUUCGGGGGACAAAGUGACAGGUGGUGCAUGGUUGUCGUCAGCUCGUGUCGUGAGAUGUUGGGUUAAGUCCCGCAACGAGCGCAACCCUUAAGCUUAGUUGCCAUCAUUAAGUUGGGCACUCUAAGUUGACUGCCGGUGACAAACCGGAGGAAGGUGGGGAUGACGUCAAAUCAUCAUGCCCCUUAUGAUUUGGGCUACACACGUGCUACAAUGGACAAUACAAAGGGCAGCGAAACCGCGAGGUCAAGCAAAUCCCAUAAAGUUGUUCUCAGUUCGGAUUGUAGUCUGCAACUCGACUACAUGAAGCUGGAAUCGCUAGUAAUCGUAGAUCAGCAUGCUACGGUGAAUACGUUCCCGGGUCU